UACGGAGGGUGCGAGCGUUGUCCGGAAUCACUGGGCCUAAAGGGCGCGUAGGCGGCGCGGAAAGUCAACGGUGAAAGCUUGGGGCUCAACCCCGAGUCGGCCGUCGAUACUUCCGUGCUCGAGCACUGUAGAGGCAGGUGGAAUUCCGGGUGUAGCGGUGGAAUGCGUAGAGAUCCGGAAGAACACCGGUGGCGAAGGCGGCCUGCUGGGCAGUAGCUGACGCUGAGGCGCGAAAGCUAGGGGAGCAAACGGG
RNAcentral lists this ribosomal RNA (253 nucleotides) under uncultured bacterium. RNAcentral describes it as "partial 16S ribosomal RNA". It matches the Rfam family "Bacterial small subunit ribosomal RNA", at positions 524 to 776 of the family's 1533-position model. The record is from RNAcentral.